Erinaceus europaeus (western European hedgehog) is the source of this 297-nucleotide unclassified non-coding RNA. Its record names the gene 7SK. It matches the Rfam family "7SK RNA". Rfam says of the family: 7SK was discovered as an abundant small nuclear RNA in the mid-70s but a possible function has only recently been suggested. Two independent studies have found that 7SK RNA binds the CDK9/cyclin T complex (known as elongation factor P-TEFb). P-TEFb activates transcription by phosphorylating the C-terminal domain of RNA polymerase II. Lineage: Eukaryota; Metazoa; Chordata; Mammalia; Eulipotyphla; Erinaceidae. The record is from Ensembl.
AGAUGUGGGGGGGGCGAUCUGGCUGUGACAUCCUUCACCCCAGUGAUCGCCAGUGUUGAUUUGGCUGAUCAGGCUGGCUAGGCGGGUGUCCCCUUCCUCUCUCACCCUCCAUGUGUGCCCCUCCCGCAGCUGCAAGCUCGGUUGAAGAGGACGGCCUUCCCCGAUAGAGACAAACCAGUCUUCAGCUGAGGGUAUAAGAGUAGCUGUGGACCUCCAAACAAGCUCUCAUGCCUGGCUCCAAAGUCCCAGGCUCAAUCCCCCCCACCACCAUAAACCAGAGGUGAGCAGCACUCUGAU